GGACUUUCAAGACUGGGGAGCCCAUAACCUGCCACUCAAAAUGGCGCCGGGAUGGGAACAGAUCGGAUCAGAUGCGGCGGGAAACCACCAGGGCCACUGCCGGCCCGGCAACACCAUGAAGAUGGUGUGUUCAUGGCCAGCCUGCAGGUCCACCGGGGCUGCCAAAGGAGACACCUCCUUGCCAAUCCACGUCGCCACGCGUGCCCGCCCACGCCAGCCCCUCCGUGGCCGGAAGCGCCUCUGGCUGACCGGAAGUGCCUUGCCGCAGAGGCUGCCGGGAGUUGUAGUUCCACCCCAAUCCAGGGGCGCCUACGCAGUGCAGGGGUGUCCGAGUGUGAUCUGCGCACUUCCGGACCCCAGUCUGGUAUUACGGCGUCCAGCACCUCGGACCUGGCCGGUUCUGAGGUCUCCGCGGCACCUCGGACUGGUGGUUCCCUCGGCUCCCGGCUGUAGGGAGGGCACGUGUGGCGGAAUCCACGGCUGCAUAGCCAGGUCCCUGAACUCCACUCAGGCGUCCAGACCUCCUGUGGGUGAGGAGGGAACUGCUGAGGAAAGGCCCCCCUUCUCUCCAACCCUCCCUCCCUCCUGCGGACCCUACAUCCAGCCAAGGGUAGGCUCUGAGCUAUGAGGGCAAUUAAGGAAGUUUGUGAAACGAUUGUUAUUUCAGGGGUCUACAGUGUCAGUAUUCGUCUGACAAGCCUUUAGAGUGUCUGGGUCAGCCCCUGGGGAAGCACCGGGUCGCAUCCGUGGCUGGGGUCCUAUGGAGAUGUCAGUCCUGUGAACAGAUGAGGGCCCUCAGGGUAUGGGUGCCCUGGUAGUUAUCUCUACUGGAUGAAUGGACAUCCUGGGAGGGAGGGAGGUUCCCACUGGGGGAGGCGGGGCUAAAGAUCAGACUUAAAUAGGGUCUGCGUAGGUGGAAGGGGGCAAAAGGGUAUUCCAAGCGGAGGGAACCGCAUAUGCAAAGGUAAGAGGCUUAAACCGAGGGGGUACGGCUGGAUUCCGCGCUCUGGAGUAGCCCUGAGGUGGUGAGGGAGCAGAUCAAGGUAGCUUAGGGGGUGUGGGCUGGGUCCUGUUGGUGCCUGAAGUGUUUUAAGCAAGGCAUUGGCGCGGUUAUACUUGUUUUUUGGUCGGAAUGUAUGAGCAGCUGAAUAAGGUAGUGAGAGAAGAGUAGAGGCGUCGUAUCUCAGAUUUGUGAAGCCAUAGCGGCGCCGGGUCUCGGGAGUGAAGGUGGGGUAGUGUGAGCGCAUCUGUUUGCAGACAGAGAAAGUUCAGUGUAGUCUUUUCUUCUAAGGCAGUUGGUGAAGAAAGAGAGCAACGUGAGGGUGGGAAGUGAUGCAGAAAUGAUGGAGGAUUUGUCUGUCUUUGAUUCUUUUUUGUUCAAGUUGGGACAGAUUUGAGCUGUGGGAAAAAACAAACUGGUACUGUAGUUUUAAAUCUUGAUAAGGUCAAAUGUAUCAGGUUUUUCCAUUAUGCCUUGAACUUGGGUUUUAUUGAAGGAGUUUCCCCUACUGCAAUCCAUAGUUCUCUCUUUAUAUUUUUUUCUACUAUUUAUAAUAAGUUAUAUUAGGAAGUAUCUCAAAUGCAGCAUGCAAAGUAGAAAAAGAAAGAAAGCUUUGUGCUUAUCAUCUAGACUGAGCAAAUGUUAAAGGUUUAUUUGCUUCAGAUUUUCUGAAGAACUAAAACCUCAUAAAUACUUGAAGGCUUUUUGCACCCUCCCUAUUGGAUUUUCCUUCUUCUCACUCAGAGGUAACUUCUGAAAUUGCUAUGUAUCCUUUCAUGUUUUGUUUUACUUACAAAUAUGAAUGUAGCCAUAAACAAUAUAUACGCUUGUGUUGUAUAUUCAUCACCUUUGCCUAUAUUUCUUUUGGAUUUUUUUCUUAUUUAUUUUUAGUGUGUUGUCUAGAUACAAAUUCAUUUUGCCUUGUGCACAUUGCAAAAAUUUUGAAUGGAAUUUGAUUGGACCUAAUGUUUCUUUGAUGGGUAUAUUUUUGAGUAUGGAUCCAUUUCACUUAAUGUUCUGUAGUUUAUUUGGUUUUCUGUUGCUUUGUUAAUUUGAUUAAUUUAUAUUUUUCUGGAAAGUUGUCCAAUUUAAUUUCAACGUAAUGGCAUUAUUUAUAAUAGUCUCAUAAUUAAAAGAAAACUCCAGUAUAUCUGUAAUUGUCUCCUUUUUCAUGUCCAAAAAUUGUUUCUUUUUUGCCUUUUCUUGUUUUCUUGAUCAGUCCUGCCUGAAGUUAGUCUAUUUCAUUAGUUUAAAAUACAAAACAACUAUUUUAUUAGUUGUAAUAAAUCCUUUCCAAGAAUUGAAUUUAGUUUUUUUAAUUUUUCAUUUUGGGCACAAUUUCAGAAUUACAGAAAACUCAUAAUAGUAGAAUGAUGCAAAGAAUUCCUAAAUACCUUUCAUCUACAUUCCCCAAAUGCUAACAUUUUACCACAUUUGUAUAGGGGGUUUCAGGAACUGGACGGAUUUCAGGGCCGGUUAAGGAAAAAGAUGGUAAACAUGAAGUGGCAGGAACACAUGCAAAGAUUAUUUACGCGUGCAUGAGGGAGAAAGGGGCCUCUUGCAGCAUGAGUCCACCCAGAGGCUGGGGCCAGGGGCCACUUCCCAGAAGAGAGGAGGAUGAGGGAACCCCGGGGGGUAUCUCUGGGUCAAAGCCACUUGGGGUCUUUAUAGCCACAUGGUUUAUAGCUAUCAGAAACUGGGUGUGGUUUCACAGGGUGGGUAAAGCACGCAGCUUCUAAAUGACUAAAAAUGUGCCAAUAGUUGGACUAUGUUUAAAACAUUCACAUGUGUUGACAUUUGAGUUUGGGGCUGCUGGUCUUUUGAGCUAUUGGUCUCAGUCUGCUGUGAAGAAGUAAACCACCCAGGGGCCAUCUUUGGCUCAUUGCUAAUACAGUUAGCUUUAUCCUGCUUUUCCUCCCCCCGCUAUACAUAUAUGUGUGUGUGUGUGUGUGUGUAAAUACUUCAAUGUGCAUUUCCCAAAAACAAUGGCAUUCUGUCACACAACCACAGUAUAAUGAUCAAAAUCAGGAGAUUAACAUCGAUGCAGUACCAUUGUCUAACCCACAGAUCUUAGUCAGAUUUUACUAGCUGUCUCAAUAAUAAUUUUUCUAGCUAAAGAAAAUCCAGGAUCAUGCAUUGCAUUCCCCCCCACAUCUCUUUAGUUUCCUUUACUCUGGAACAGUUUCCCAAUCUUUCAUUGUCUUUAAUAACAUUGACAUUAUUGAAGAAUACAGGCCAGUUAUUAUAGAACAUUCCUCAAUUUAGGUUUGUCUGGUGUUACAUCAUGAUUAGAUUCAGGUAAUACAUUUGUGGCAGAAUUUUUUUUUAAAUCUGCUUAAUUAUUUCUUUUAUUCUUUUAAAAUUUCUUCUCAUACUUGUCUUUUUUUUAUGUCUUUUGAGUUUAUUCUUUUUUUCUGUGCUAGCCUCCUGCAUUGAAUGUCAUUAAUUUCCAGUUUUAAUUUAAUGCCUAUCUUAGGGCUAUAAUUUUCCUUUAAGUAUGUGUUUGUAAAUAUCUACCAAUUUUGGUAUGUACUAUUUUUGUAGUCGUAAAUAUUUUUGCAUUCUUUUUAUUUUCUGAUUUUAUUACUUUUUGGUUUAGAGAGUGGCAUCUAUGCAGUAUUGAUUUUUAAAAGAUUGGUUGAGGUUUAUUUUUUAGCUUGUCAAUUUUAUAACUGUAUCAGAUGCACUUUAAAAAAUGUAUAUUCUCUAACUAUUGAGUUCAUUCUUCUGUCUGAUCCAAUAGGUCAAGCUUUUAAAUUGUUAUUCACAUCUUAUAUAUUCUUACUGGGGUUUUUUUGUAUCUUAGAUCUUCGUUUCUAAAAGUAUAUACUAAACUCUUUUUGCUGUGAUUGACGAUUUGUCAGUUUCUCCUUGCUGCGUCGCGUCAGUGUUCAAGUGCAUUUGAGCUGCAUAUGUAUCGUGUACAUUUGCUGGGGACACGGACCUAAGAUCGAGUUGAUUUCUGGUCAUUGCUUUGUCUCCUUCCAGUGGGUCGUUCUUUCUUGUUUUUUGUCUGUCUCCGAAUUUUUAAAAUGAAUGCCGCGCAUUGUGUGUGGGAGACUUCUGCUGGGCCGUUUCAGCGUGCGGAGCUGGGAGUGCAGGAGUUUGGUUGCGACAAGACUGGUCAGCAGUUACCAGUUGCGCAAGGCUGGCAUUUGUUGUCGCUAUGGUUACUGUCAGCCUCGGCUGGCGUGGCUCUGUGCUUGGAGCCGGCUGGUUGCUGGUCCCCGCUUCGAGGCCGGAUUCCCUCCCCCCCCCCCCCCCCCCCCCCCCCCCGUGCCCCUUGACUCUCCUCCUGCUGGCACUCCCCCGCCUGCUCCUCGGUGUUGGCUGGCCUGCUGGAGGAGGGGCAGGGUGCUCUUUGUGUCUCAGUCUCAGGAGGGCCCUGGGGUCUUGGGGAUGCUGCCCCUCCCCACGAGGUUGGAGGCUCUAAAAGUCUGAGCCCAGGACCUAUGUCUGCCCCUCUCCCAUGGGGAUAGUGUGUGUUUGUUUCUUUUUCCUGCCACAUGCGGUGGGUCUUACCAGUGCUCUGGGAGCAACAGGGUUUUGCUAACCUUCCCCCAGCAACACAGGGCUUUUGUUCCUCAGGAGAGAAAUUUCGGGAAGAAUGGGGCUUCCCGCGUUUCCAGCAAUGGCAGCCACUCCCCUCCUGUAGGCCUUCACUACCCAGGGAGUCUCCACGUGGUCUCCAGCUCCGCCCUGUCUGUGUUCUUCCUCUUAUCUGUAUAACAAAUCACCACACAUUUAGUGGUUUAAAGCAGCUCACAGCUCGGAGGCCAGACGUCCCAGUGGGAUGGCCACGCUCUCUGCUCGGGUCUCCAAGGCCAAAAUCAAGGCACUGGACGGGGCGGCCUCUUCUCCGGGGCUCCGGGGGAGAGUACACUCCAGGAGUUCGGGGUCAGGGGAAGUGAGUUUCUGGCGGUUUAGGUCGGAGGCCCCUGUGUCCCUGCCCGCUGUCGGCUGAGGGCCUGUCUCAGCAUCUUCUCACACUCACAUCUGUCUUCAAAGCCAGAGACGAUGCACCGGCUCCUUCUUGGGCUUUUGCUCUUCCAGACUCCCCCUCUGACCCCCAUCCGUUUCCAACUCAGAAGUAAAGUGUCCUGCUGAUAUUUUGACCCGAGUCUCACCA
Molecule: long non-coding RNA, 5129 nt
Filed under: Delphinapterus leucas (beluga whale)
Lineage: Eukaryota; Metazoa; Chordata; Mammalia; Artiodactyla; Monodontidae
Description: lncRNA (ENSDLEG00000020906.1)
Source: RNAcentral